AAACCGCGCAUUUUUUCAUUGUUUGUGUUCAACGUUUGAUUGUCCAUAUUAUUUAAAAAAAUUAUAAUCAAUAUUUUAUUGCUAUUAGAUAAUAAAACAUAAAUACUACAUUAUAUGUGGUUAUUUUUUGAAAAAAUAUAAAAUUUUUAAAUAAGAUAAAAGGUCAAACGUUGAACUUGAAAAUACACAAAUACAGUUAUA
This 201-nucleotide microRNA precursor is filed under the name Oryza brachyantha (malo sina). RNAcentral describes it as "MIR812 microRNA precursor family". It matches the Rfam family "MIR812 microRNA precursor family". Lineage: Eukaryota; Viridiplantae; Streptophyta; Magnoliopsida; Poales; Poaceae. The record is from Rfam by way of RNAcentral.